Long non-coding RNA from Mirounga angustirostris (Northern elephant seal), 1432 nucleotides. RefSeq lists it as uncharacterized. NCBI's taxonomy places the organism in Eukaryota, Metazoa, Chordata, Mammalia, Carnivora, Phocidae. The record is from RefSeq and is a predicted model, not a curated record. The transcript is spliced from 3 exons.
CAAGGGUUGUCCUGCAACUGAUCUCUGGAAGUCCUUUCCUGGAUUUAUUUUCAUCUGAAGAGAGCUGCCUUGCCCAAGUCCACACCCUUCUCCAGAGACAGACCACCAAAGAGGAAGGAGACAAAAUGUCUGGUAAGGAAGUGCUCAUCUAGCCAAUACCUGCCCCUUGGAGAUGGGGGACUUGGGAAAGACAAAACAGAAAGCAAAUGGAGGGAACUGUAACUGCCGUAUCUUGAGGAAGGAAACUACUCACUCAUCUUGGCUAUUAAACUUCAAUUGAUACACAUUUUCCGAGGAAUUUUACGGUGGCAAAGAACUGGAAAUCAUUCCAUCUCUCUCAAAUAAAACCUGUGGACAGAUUGAAAGGAUUGAAAAGGGAGAUGUUAUUAUAAAGAUAUACAUCUCAUGUGAUUCAAUGAGUAUUUAAAAGUACUCAGACAACCUAAGUGUCUGUAGACGGAUAGAUAAAGAAAAUGUGGUAUAUACAGUUGACCUUUGAACAAUGUGAGGGUUAGGGGCACCAACCCCACCCCACAAUGAAAAAUCUGCAUAUCUUUUGACUCCUCAAAAACUUAACUAAUAGCCUAGCCUACUAGAGACCAGAACUCUUACCAAUAACAUAGCCAAUUAACACAUUUUUUAUGUUAUAUGUAUUAUAUACUGUGUUCUUACAAUAAAUAAGUUAGAGAAAAAAAGUUACGAAAACCAUAAAAAGGAGAAAAUACAUUUACAGUACUGUACUACAAGAUACCUGACUGUACAGACUCACACAGUUCAAACUCAUAUUGUUCAAGAGUCAGCUAUAUAUAUACAAAGGAGUAUUAUUCAGCCUUAAAAAAUAAGGAAAUCUUGCCAUUUGCAACAAUAUGGAUGGACUUUGAGGGCAUUAUGCUAAGUGAAAUAAACCAGACAGAGAAGGAUACCAUAUGGUGCCACUUAUAUGUGGAGUCUUUAAAAAAAAAAAAAGAAAGAAAAUCAAACUCACAGAAACAGAAUAGGAAAAUGAUUGUCAGGGGCUGGGUAAAAUAAGAAGAGGCUGGUAAAAGGAUACAAACUUUCAGUUAUAAGGUUUGAGGAUCUUAUAACAUGGUGACUAUAACUGAUUAUACUGUACUGUAUAAUUAAAAUUUUCCAAGGGAGUAGAACUUAAAUAUUCUCACCAAUCAAUCAAUCUGUAGGUGAUAGAUAUGUUCAUUAACUCGAUGAGGGCAAUCUUGUCACAGCAUAUACAUAUAUCAAAUCAUCACAUUGUACACUUUAAAUAUCUUACAAUUUUGUCAAUCAUACAUCAAUUAUUUAAAGAAAUAAACAACAACAACAAAAAAUAAAAGUUCUCGGGGUGGUCAGAAACCAGGUGUGUCCUGGGACAUCUACAUUAAUAGUUAAUGGAUCUUAUUUCUAAGUACUCUACUUUGUGUGCAACUCAGUUUAU